Molecule: ribosomal RNA, 253 nt
Filed under: uncultured bacterium
Lineage: Bacteria
Description: partial 16S ribosomal RNA
Rfam family: Bacterial small subunit ribosomal RNA
Source: RNAcentral
UACGAAGGGGGCUAGCGUUGCUCGGAAUUACUGGGCGUAAAGCGCGCGUAGGCGGAUUGUUAAGUCGGGGGUGAAAUCCUGGAGCUCAACUCCAGAACUGCCUUCGAUACUGGCGAUCUCGAGUUCGGGAGAGGUGAGUGGAACUGCGAGUGUAGAGGUGAAAUUCGUAGAUAUUCGCAAGAACACCAGUGGCGAAGGCGGCUCACUGGCCCGAUACUGACGCUGAGGUGCGAAAGCGUGGGGAGCAAACAGG